UUUGACAUACAAGUAGUAGGAAGGAAACUGGACGACCUUCGGGAGCUUGUACAGGUGCUGCAUGGCUGUCGUCAGCUCGUGUCGUGAGAUGUUCGGUUAAGUCCGCUAACGAGCGCAACCUCGCGUAUGUUACAAGUGUCAUACGGGACUGCCGGUAAAAGCCGGAGGAAGGUGAGGAUGAUGUCAAGUCAGCAUGACCUUUAUAUCCAGGGCUACACACACGCUACAAUGGUCUGUACAAUUGGUUGCCAAGCCGCGAGGCGGAGCCAAUCCGUAAAGCAGGCCUCAGUUCAGAUUGCAGUCUGCAACUCGACUGCAUGAAGCCGGAGUUGCUAGUAACCGCAGGUCAGCAAUACUGCGGUGAAUACGUUCCCGGGUCUU
Molecule: ribosomal RNA, 381 nt
Filed under: uncultured Anaerolineaceae bacterium
Lineage: Bacteria; Bacillati; Chloroflexota; Anaerolineae; Anaerolineales; Anaerolineaceae
Description: bacterial SSU rRNA
Rfam family: Bacterial small subunit ribosomal RNA
Source: RNAcentral